RNAcentral lists this long non-coding RNA (682 nucleotides) under Lonchura striata (white-rumped munia). Its description in RNAcentral is "domestica (Bengalese finch) lncRNA (ENSLSDG00000016910.1)". The record is from RNAcentral. Lineage: Eukaryota; Metazoa; Chordata; Aves; Passeriformes; Estrildidae.
ACUGUGAAGCCAUGGAGGGAUGGAUCUGUGGAUCUGGAUCACACUCAGAUCACUCUAUAGUUAAUUUUUAUGUGGACCAAAUUAAUUUUUGGGCUCUCUGAUGAAGGGAGAAAAGCAGGGAGUGAUUCACAGCAGGACCUCAGCCUCCUUCUCACUGAAGCAUGAGGUUUGUUUGGGAUUGGCCUCGUUAUUACAAAUUUCUUCAGAUUUAACUCUCAGACUUGCAAUUUUCUCCUGUUCUGAAGGAGCUGCUUAUAUUUUACAGCUUUUCUUGAAGCCAUGGCAGGAGCUGUGCUCGAAAUGGUGCCGUGGGAGUUGGUAUCCCAGGUCAGGAGACCAGACAUCAAAUCCUUGGUGCACCUUGGCAGCUGGGAACGCUCCACAAAGCAGGAAUGCUCCAGCAAACCCUGCCAAAGCAGCUGCUGGGAGCACACCACCAAAGGCUCCAGAACUUUCUACACCAGGCUUCCAACUUUCAUCCUCAGAUCUGCACCCUGAUGGAUUUUUAAAUGGUCCACGAGGAGCAGGAUUUCACGUCUGUGAUCAGGUUGCCCCUACCAGCAGGGUGGGCUGGACUCGGAGGUUUUAGGUAGACCCCAGCACCAAAAAAACUACAUCAGACACAGCUCUUGGAGGGCCUCCAAAAGAAUAAACUCAUUUGCAAUUAGAGUUUAUUUUCUCA